This 85-nucleotide transfer RNA is filed under the name Candidatus Omnitrophota bacterium. Its description in RNAcentral is "tRNA-Tyr". It matches the Rfam family "tRNA". From Rfam's summary of the family: Transfer RNA (tRNA) molecules are approximately 80 nucleotides in length. The record is from RNAcentral. RNAcentral also lists the same sequence under 1 other name. Lineage: Bacteria; Pseudomonadati; Candidatus Omnitrophota.
GGGGAGAUGCCGGAGUGGUCAAACGGAGCGGUCUGUAAAACCGAUGGCGUUGCCUGCGGAGGUUCGAAUCCUUCUCUCCCCACCA